AUUGAACGCUGGCGGCAUGCCUUACACAUGCAAGUCGAACGGCAGCACGGGAGCAAUCCUGGUGGCGAGUGGCGAACGGGUGAGUAAUAUAUUGGAACGUGCCCAGUCGUGGGGGAUAACGCAGCGAAAGCUGUGCUAAUACCGCAUACGAUCUAUGGAUGAAAGCGGGGGAUCGCAAGACCUCGCGCGAUUGGAGCGGCCGAUAUCAGAUUAGCUAGUUGGUGGGGUAAAGGCCCACCAAGGCGACGAUCUGUAGCUGGUCUGAGAGGACGACCAGCCUCACUGGAACUGAGACACGGUCCAGACUCCUACGGGAGGCAGCAGUGGGGAAUUUUGGACAAUGGGCGCAAGCCUGAGCCAGCAAUGCCGCGUGCAGGAUGAAGGCCUUCGGGUUGUAAACUGCUUUUGUACGGAACGAAACGGUCCUUUCUAAUACAGAGGGCUAAUGACGGUACCGUAAGAAUAAGCACCGGCUAACUACGUGCCAGCAGCCGCGGUAA
This 500-nucleotide ribosomal RNA is filed under the name uncultured bacterium. RNAcentral describes it as "partial 16S ribosomal RNA". It matches the Rfam family "Bacterial small subunit ribosomal RNA", at positions 30 to 523 of the family's 1533-position model. The record is from RNAcentral.